UACGUAGGGGGGCUAGCGUUGUCCGGAAUCAUUGGGCGUAAAGCGCGCGUAGGCGGCCCGGUAAGUCCGCUGUGAAAGUCAAAGGCUCAACCUUUGAAUGUCAGCGGAUACUGCCGGGCUAGAGUCCGGAAGAGGCGAGUGGAAUUCCUGGUGUAGCGGUGAAAUGCGCAGAUAUCAGGAGGAACACCUAUUGCGAAGGCAGCUCGCUGGGACGUAACUGACGCUGAGACGCGAAAGCGUGGGGAGCAAACAGG
This 254-nucleotide ribosomal RNA is filed under the name uncultured bacterium. RNAcentral describes it as "partial 16S ribosomal RNA". It matches the Rfam family "Bacterial small subunit ribosomal RNA", at positions 524 to 776 of the family's 1533-position model. The record is from RNAcentral.